Molecule: ribosomal RNA, 512 nt
Filed under: Salmonella enterica
Lineage: Bacteria; Pseudomonadati; Pseudomonadota; Gammaproteobacteria; Enterobacterales; Enterobacteriaceae
Description: partial 23S ribosomal RNA
Rfam family: Bacterial large subunit ribosomal RNA
Source: RNAcentral
CGAUGAGUAGGGCGGGACACGUGGUAUCCUGUCUGAAUAUGGGGGGACCAUCCUCCAAGGCUAAAUACUCCUGACUGACCGAUAGUGAACCAGUACCGUGAGGGAAAGGCGAAAAGAACCCCGGCGAGGGGAGUGAAAAAGAACCUGAAACCGUGUACGUACAAGCAGUGGGAGCACAGGUUUACCUGUGUGACUGCGUACCUUUUGUAUAAUGGGUCAGCGACUUAUAUUCUGUAGCAAGGUUAACCGAAUAGGGGAGCCGGAGGGAAACCGAGUCUUAAUUGGGCGUUAAGUUGCAGGGUAUAGACCCGAAACCCGGUGAUCUAGCCAUGGGCAGGUUGAAGGUUGGGUAACACUAACUGGAGGACCGAACCGACUAAUGUUGAAAAAUUAGCGGAUGACCUGUGGCUGGGGGUGAAAGGCCAAUCAAACCGGGAGAUAGCUGGUUCUCCCCGAAAGCUAUUUAGGUAGCGCCUCGUGAAUUCAUCUCCGGGGGUAGAGCACUGUUUCGG